GUGUACCAUUUGCACCACUACACUCACUAAAGGCCCUAUCCCACUUUGGCGGUGCUGGCUCGAAGGGCCAAAUGGCCUACCUCCUGUGCCUAUUGUCGAUUGACCUCCCCAAUCCUAUAGGUUCAUUAUUUUAAUCUUUUAACAAGGGCUCCCACUUAGGGUAUUUUU
Molecule: long non-coding RNA, 168 nt
Organism: Amblyraja radiata (thorny skate)
Lineage: Eukaryota; Metazoa; Chordata; Chondrichthyes; Rajiformes; Rajidae
Exons: 3
Source: RefSeq, a predicted model, not a curated record